UGAGCUGUAAUGUUCACAGCGAAGGUCUGC
RNAcentral lists this non-coding RNA (30 nucleotides) under Homo sapiens (human). Lineage: Eukaryota; Metazoa; Chordata; Mammalia; Primates; Hominidae. The record is from RNAcentral.